GGGGUGCUCGAGUGGCGAACGGGUGAGUAACACGUGAGUAACCUGCCCUUGACUUUGGGAUAACUUCAGGAAACUGGGGCUAAUACCGGAUAGGAGCUCCUGCUGCAUGGUGGGGGUUGGAAAGUUUCGGCGGUCGGGGAUGGACUCGCGGCUUAUCAGCUUGUUGGUGGGGUAGUGGCUUACCAAGGCUUUGACGGGUAGCCGGCCUGAGAGGGUGACCGGCCACAUUGGGACUGAGAUACGGCCCAG
This 249-nucleotide ribosomal RNA is filed under the name uncultured Actinomycetales bacterium. RNAcentral describes it as "partial 16S ribosomal RNA". It matches the Rfam family "Bacterial small subunit ribosomal RNA", at positions 84 to 334 of the family's 1533-position model. The record is from RNAcentral. Lineage: Bacteria; Bacillati; Actinomycetota; Actinomycetes; Actinomycetales.